This 892-nucleotide ribosomal RNA is filed under the name uncultured bacterium. RNAcentral's name for it is "bacterial SSU rRNA". It matches the Rfam family "Bacterial small subunit ribosomal RNA", at positions 505 to 1397 of the family's 1533-position model. The record is from RNAcentral.
GUGCCAGCCGCCGCGGUAAUACGUAGGUGGCAAGCGUUGUCCGGAUUUAUUGGGCGUAAAGCGAGCGCAGGCGGUUUCUUAAGUCUGAUGUGAAAGCCUUCGGCUCAACCGAAGAAGUGCAUCGGAAACUGGGAAACUUGAGUGCAGAAGAGGACAGUGGAACUCCAUGUGUAGCGGUGAAAUGCGUAGAUAUAUGGAAGAACACCAGUGGCGAAGGCGGCUGUCUGGUCUGUAACUGACGCUGAGGCUCGAAAGCAUGGGUAGCAAACAGGAUUAGAUACCCUGGUAGUCCAUGCCGUAAACGAUGAGUGCUAGGUGUUGGAGGGUUUCCGCCCUUCAGUGCCGCAGCUAACGCAUUAAGCACUCCGCCUGGGGAGUACGACCGCAAGGUUGAAACUCAAAGGAAUUGACGGGGGCCCGCACAAGCGGUGGAGCAUGUGGUUUAAUUCGAAGCAACGCGAAGAACCUUACCAGGUCUUGACAUCCUUUGACCACUCUAGAGAUAGAGCUUUCCCUUCGGGGACAAAGUGACAGGUGGUGCAUGGUUGUCGUCAGCUCGUGUCGUGAGAUGUUGGGUUAAGUCCCGCAACGAGCGCAACCCUUAUUACUAGUUGCCAGCAUUUAGUUGGGCACUCUAGUGAGACUGCCGGUGACAAACCGGAGGAAGGUGGGGACGACGUCAAAUCAUCAUGCCCCUUAUGACCUGGGCUACACACGUGCUACAAUGGAUGGUACAACGAGUUGCGAGACCGCGAGGUUUAGCUAAUCUCUUAAAACCAUUCUCAGUUCGGAUUGUAGGCUGCAACUCGCCUACAUGAAGCCGGAAUCGCUAAUAAUCGCGGAUCAGCAUGCCGCGGUGAAUACGUUCCCGGGCCUUGUACACACCGCCCGU